RNAcentral lists this long non-coding RNA (362 nucleotides) under Coccomyxa subellipsoidea. Its description in RNAcentral is "long non-coding RNA (CSUB_LNC000610)". Lineage: Eukaryota; Viridiplantae; Chlorophyta; Trebouxiophyceae; Coccomyxaceae. The record is from RNAcentral.
UCUGACCAGGAGCACCCUGUGCAGUGCACUCCGUCAGAAGGCGCACAAACCGCAACCUCUCCCUGACAUGCCAUGUUUUUAACCCUGCGGAAAAGUUGGGGAAAUCUCUUUGUGAGCAGGAACAAAAGCAUCUGUACAAACCAGAAACAGAAUUAUGGCAGCUCACCAACGUGCGCGUGAACGAGAUAUGCAACGGUUAGAUUUGGAUACUUCUUGUCUGCGCAGAUGACUCGGGUGCAGUCCCGUUAAGAAACCGAUGCCUUUCAAGGGAUAUCCGAAAUGCCGAACGUGGCAGUAAGCUUUCAGGGGAGCAGCGAUCAGAUAAUUCAUGUAGGACUCAAUUUCAUGACUGCCAUAACUAU